This 367-nucleotide ribosomal RNA is filed under the name Bacillus cereus. RNAcentral describes it as "bacterial LSU rRNA". It matches the Rfam family "Bacterial large subunit ribosomal RNA", at positions 2563 to 2925 of the family's 2925-position model. The record is from RNAcentral. Lineage: Bacteria; Bacillati; Bacillota; Bacilli; Caryophanales; Bacillaceae.
UCCCAAGGGUUGGGCUGUUCGCCCAUUAAAGCGGUACGCGAGCUGGGUUCAGAACGUCGUGAGACAGUUCGGUCCCUAUCCGUCGUGGGCGUAGGAAAUUUGAGAGGAGCUGUCCUUAGUACGAGAGGACCGGGAUGGACGCACCGCUGGUGUACCAGUUGUUCUGCCAAGGGCAUAGCUGGGUAGCUAUGUGCGGAAGGGAUAAGUGCUGAAAGCAUCUAAGCAUGAAGCCCCCCUCAAGAUGAGAUUUCCCAUAGCGUAAGCUAGUAAGAUCCCUGAAAGAUGAUCAGGUUGAUAGGUUCGAGGUGGAAGCAUGGUGACAUGUGGAGCUGACGAAUACUAAUAGAUCGAGGACUUAACCAUAUAA